Molecule: long non-coding RNA, 985 nt
Filed under: Homo sapiens (human)
Lineage: Eukaryota; Metazoa; Chordata; Mammalia; Primates; Hominidae
Description: HSALNT0325032
Source: RNAcentral
GGAACCAAGAACCACAACAUUCUUUUCCUUUCUGAGGUCGUAGCCGCUGUGAGUCUUAGCUUCUCUCUGCAUCUGUGAGGUCAUCUCCCUUUCUGUAGAGCAUAUGAUCUUUACUGAUGCACCUGCAUCUGGCUCAGACUUAGUCACCCAGCCCUGAAAUUAUAUCAUAUCACAGGUCAUUCUCUGAGUCUCUUAAUGUGAGGCCUUGAGAGAAAAAUCAACAUGCCUUCUGUUGGAUGAAGACCAAUCAGCAAGAUGGUGGUGAUUGUGGUACAGGUCUGUAACAAUGCAAAAGUCAGAACUGGUUGAAAUGUAAAAUUCAGUCCCCUUUUUAUAGAGUCGUUGCAAGGAUCAAGUGAGUUGAAAUCCGUAAGGUGCUUGGGAGAAUGCCUGGCGCCUGGAAGCACUGUUGCUGCAGUAAUUCUGCUGACGUCAUCCCCAUACUUGCCAUCCUCUUGCAGGGUUGUAGGUUCUAAGGCUGGCCUCCACGGGGUGGUUCCACCCUCUUCUCUUGCUGUGUCUUUAAUGAGAUGUAUCAGAUAUUCCAAAAAAGGAGAUAUAAACAUGACCAUAAAAGACAUGAAAAGAUGUUUAACCCCAUUAGUCAUCGUGGAAAUGCAAAUGAAAACCACCAUACAGACACUAGAGUGGUUUAAAUUUGAAUGACUUCCAACACCAAAUGCCAGACAGGACAUAGAGCAACUGGAUGUCUCAUGCUCACAGGCAGAAGGGAAAACUACUGUGUGUGACAGGAAGAUGGACUUACCCAACCUUCAGCAUUCUCAAUCUCUUGUCUAUUAACAUGUGUUUGAAACAUUAUGCAUUCAAAGCAAACAUCUGGGAGGAAGAUGGGAGAAGCCUUCUUGCCCCUGUUCUACAGAAGUAAUUGAAGUUCAUGACAUUCAAGCUCAUUCACCAGUAAAUGAAUUUGGGUCAUGCUUUAUGUCUGUUGUAAAUACAGUGAAAAUUUGCCUCUGUUCCUGAA